RNAcentral lists this ribosomal RNA (437 nucleotides) under uncultured Fulvimarina sp. Its description in RNAcentral is "bacterial SSU rRNA". It matches the Rfam family "Bacterial small subunit ribosomal RNA", at positions 8 to 491 of the family's 1533-position model. The record is from RNAcentral. Lineage: Bacteria; Pseudomonadati; Pseudomonadota; Alphaproteobacteria; Hyphomicrobiales; Aurantimonadaceae.
AGAGUUUGAUCAUGGCUCAGAACGAACGCUGGCGGCAGGCUUAACACAUGCAAGUCGAACGGUUGUAGCAAUACAGCAGUGGCAGACGGGUGAGUAACACGUGGGAACCUUCCUAGGGGUACGGAACAACUCAGGGAAACUUGAGCUAAUACCGUAUACGUCCGUGAGGAGAAAGAUUUAUCGCCCCUAGACGGGCCCGCGUAGGAUUAGGUAGUUGGUGAGGUAACGGCUCACCAAGCCUACGAUCCUUAGCUGAUCUGAGAGGAUGAUCAGCCACACUGGGACUGAGACACGGCCCAGACUCCUACGGGAGGCAGCAGUGGGGAAUCUUGGACAAUGGGCGCAAGCCUGAUCCAGCCAUGCCGCGUGAGUGAAGAAGGCCUUCGGGUUGUAAAGCUCUUUUACCAGGGACGAUAAUGACGGUACCUGAGAAUAGC